This 343-nucleotide unclassified non-coding RNA is filed under the name soil metagenome. Its description in RNAcentral is "partial contains 5.8S ribosomal RNA, internal transcribed spacer 2, and large subunit ribosomal RNA". The stretch from base 1 to 121 matches the Rfam family "5.8S ribosomal RNA", at positions 35 to 154 of the family's 154-position model. The record is from RNAcentral.
GAUGAAGAACGCAGCGAAAUGCGAUAAGUAAUGCGAAUUGCAGAAUUUCCGUGAGUCAUCGAAUCUUUGAACGCACAUUGCGCCCGCCAGUAUUCUGGCGGGCAUGCCUGUUCGAGCGUCAUUUCAACCCUCAAGCCCCCGGGUUUGGUGUUGGGGAUCGGGCUGUACUCCAGCCCGGCCCCGAAAUCUAGUGGCGGUCUCGCUGCAGCCUCCAUUGCGUAGUAGCUAACACCUCGCAACUGGAACGCGGCGCGGCCAAGCCGUUAAACCCCCAACUUCUGAAUGUUGACCUCGGAUCAGGUAGGAAUACCCGCUGAACUUAAGCAUAUCAAUAAGCGGAGGA